Molecule: ribosomal RNA, 254 nt
Filed under: uncultured bacterium
Lineage: Bacteria
Description: partial 16S ribosomal RNA
Rfam family: Bacterial small subunit ribosomal RNA
Source: RNAcentral
UACGUAGGGGCCUAGCGUUGUCCGGAUUUAUUGGGCGUAAAGAGCUCGUAGGCGGUUCGGUAAGUCAGGUGUGAAAUCUCCACGCUCAACGUGGAGGCGCCACCUGAAACUGCCGUGACUAGAGUCCGGUAGGGGAGUGUGGAAUUCCCGGUGUAGCAGUGAAAUGCGUAGAGAUCGGGAGGAACAUCUGUGGCGAAGGCGACUGCCUGGACCAGCACUGACACUGAGGCACGAAAGCGUGGGGAGCAAACAGG